This 233-nucleotide non-coding RNA is filed under the name Streptomyces sp. CB03234. Its description in RNAcentral is "Streptomyces sRNA 4677". It matches the Rfam family "Streptomyces sRNA 4677". Rfam says of the family: Located in the intergenic region between anti-sigma factor SCO4677 gene and a putative regulatory protein gene SCO4676. scr4677 expression requires the SCO4677 activity and scr4677 sRNA itself seem to affect the levels of the SCO4676-associated transcripts. The record is from Rfam by way of RNAcentral. Lineage: Bacteria; Bacillati; Actinomycetota; Actinomycetes; Kitasatosporales; Streptomycetaceae.
GGAGCCGGUGCGGCAGGCGGUCAAAGACAAAUAACCUUGGGAAAGAACCUUCCAAACCAACCAAACCCCGCGUACGUCACUCGCUGGAGUGAAUCCGCCCAACACGGGUGGCGCGGGGGCGGUUUGGCCGGGCACGCUCGCCGUUGACAACCGCAGAUAUGCGACGGCCCCCGCCGGGAGUGCGAAUCCCAGUGCGAGGGCCUGACCAUCGAGGAAGAGAAAAGGUCUUCCCC